Molecule: non-coding RNA, 113 nt
Filed under: human oral metagenome
Description: pemK RNA
Rfam family: pemK RNA
Source: RNAcentral
AUAAUGAUACUCCCGUUCAGUCACAGUCCGAGUGCAUACUUUUUUUUGAUGAGAAAGCACCGCAGGCAAUGAGGGCGGCUUUGUCAGACCGGUAAGGGGGUGUGAUUCCCGUG